This 253-nucleotide ribosomal RNA is filed under the name uncultured bacterium. Its description in RNAcentral is "partial 16S ribosomal RNA". It matches the Rfam family "Bacterial small subunit ribosomal RNA", at positions 524 to 776 of the family's 1533-position model. The record is from RNAcentral.
UACGUAGGGGGCCAGCGUUGUCCGAAGUUACUGGGCGUAAAGAGUGUGUAGGCGGUGCUCUAAGUUCGGUGUGAAAUCUCCCGGCUUAACUGGGAGGGUGCGCCGGAAACUGGAGUGCUCGAGCGUGGGAGAGGAAAGCGGAAUUCCUGGUGUAGCGGUGAAAUGCGUAGAUAUCAGGAGGAACACCUGCGGUGUAGACGGCUUUCUGGACCAUUGCUGACGCUGAGACACGAAAGCGUGGGUAGCAAACAGG